GCUGACGAGUGGCGGACGGGUGAGUAAUGUCUGGGAAACUGCCUGAUGGAGGGGGAUAACUACUGGAAACGGUGGCUAAUACCGCAUAACGUCGCAAGACCAAAGAGGGGGACCUUCGGGCCUCUUGCCAUCAGAUGUGCCCAGAUGGGAUUAGCUUGUUGGUGAGGUAACGGCUCACCAAGGCGACGAUCCCUAGCUGGUCUGAGAGGAUGACCAGCCACACUGGAACUGAGACACGGUCCAGACUCCUACGGGAGGCAGCAGUGGGGAAUAUUGCACAAUGGGCGCAAGCCUGAUGCAGCCAUGCCGCGUGUAUG
This 317-nucleotide ribosomal RNA is filed under the name Salmonella enterica subsp. enterica serovar Kentucky. RNAcentral describes it as "bacterial SSU rRNA". It matches the Rfam family "Bacterial small subunit ribosomal RNA", at positions 87 to 407 of the family's 1533-position model. The record is from RNAcentral. Lineage: Bacteria; Pseudomonadati; Pseudomonadota; Gammaproteobacteria; Enterobacterales; Enterobacteriaceae.